CAACCCUUAGUAGAGCGGCGCACGGGUGCGUAACACGUGGAUAAUCUGCCUGGAUGCCUGGGAUAACCAGUCGAAAGAUUGGCUAAUACCGGAUAAGCCCACGGUUUCUUCGGAGACUGAGGGAAAAGGUGGCCUCUGUAUACAAGCUAUCACAACCAGAUGAGUCCGCGGCCCAUCAGCUAGUUGGCGGGGUAAUGGCCCACCAAGGCGACGACGGGUAGCUGGUCUGAGAGGACGAUCAGCCACACUGGAACUGAGACACGGUCCAGACUCCUACGGGAGGCAGCAGUGGGGAAUUUUGCGCAAUGGGCGAAAGCCUGACGCAGCAACGCCGCGUGUGUGAUGAAGGUCUUUGGAUUGUAAAGCACUUUCGACCGGGACGAAACCGUAAAGCCUAAUACGCUUUGCCUUGACGGUACCGGGAGAAGAAGCACCGGCUAACUCUGUGCCAGCAGCCGCGGUAAUACAGAGGGUGCAAGCGUUGUUCGGAAUUAUUGGGCGUAAAGCGCGUGUAGGCGGCUUUGCAAGUCGGGUGUGAAAGCCCUCAGCUCAACUGAGGAAGUGCGCCCGAAACUGCAGAGCUUGAGUGCCGGAGAGGGUGGCGGAAUUCCCCAAGUAGAGGUGAAAUUCGUAGAUAUGGGGAGGAACACCGGUGGCGAAGGCGGCCACCUGGACGGUAACUGACGCUGAGACGCGAAAGCGUGGGUAGCAAACAGGAUUAGAUACCCUGGUAGUCCACGCCGUAAACGAUGAGAACUAGGUGUCGUGGGAGUUGACCCCCGCGGUGCCGUAGCUAACGC
This 800-nucleotide ribosomal RNA is filed under the name Corallococcus coralloides. RNAcentral's name for it is "bacterial SSU rRNA". It matches the Rfam family "Bacterial small subunit ribosomal RNA", at positions 81 to 858 of the family's 1533-position model. The record is from RNAcentral. Lineage: Bacteria; Pseudomonadati; Myxococcota; Myxococcia; Myxococcales; Myxococcaceae.